CGAAAGAUUGAUCUAGUUACUUAUUAGGAUGAUAUAAAAAUAUAUAUAUAUAUUAUAUAUAUAUAUAAUAUUGAUAAACAAUAAAAUCCAUAAAUAAUUAAAAUAAUGAUAUUAAUUAUUCUCUAAAAUGAGGAAUAUAAUUAUAUUUUAUAUAUAAUAAUAUUUUAAUAGUCCUAACAAAAAUUUGUGCCAGCAGCUGCGGUAAAACAAAGAGGGCUAGCGUUAAUCAUAAUGGCUUAAAGGAUCCGUAGAAUGAUAUAUAUAUAAUAUUAUAUAUUAGAAUUAAUAAAAUUAAUUAAAGAAUUAUAAUAGUAAAGAUGAAAUAAUAAUAAUAAUUAUAAGACUGGUAUAUGUGAAAAUAUUAAUUAAUUAUUAAUUGACAUUGAGGGAUGAAAACUAGAGUAGCGAUAUGGAUUCGAUACCCAAGUAGUUCUAGUUGUAAACUAUGAAUACCAUUAUUUAAUAUAAAUAUAUUAAUAAUAAAUGAAAAUGAAAGUAUUCCGCCUGAAGAAUACGUACGCUAGUAUGAAAUUCAAGACAAUAGACGGUUACAGACUUAAGCAGUGGAGCAU
This 572-nucleotide ribosomal RNA is filed under the name Eremothecium cymbalariae. Its description in RNAcentral is "partial small subunit ribosomal RNA". It matches the Rfam family "Bacterial small subunit ribosomal RNA", at positions 376 to 940 of the family's 1533-position model. Lineage: Eukaryota; Fungi; Ascomycota; Saccharomycetes; Saccharomycetales; Saccharomycetaceae. The record is from RNAcentral.